Long non-coding RNA from Galleria mellonella (greater wax moth), 493 nucleotides. RefSeq lists it as uncharacterized. The transcript has 3 exons. Lineage: Eukaryota; Metazoa; Arthropoda; Insecta; Lepidoptera; Pyralidae. The record is from RefSeq and is a predicted model, not a curated record.
ACAGUGAUUCUCUGGUUUAAGCAAAAACAAAUGUACAAUUAUAAUUUUUAGUGUAAAUUGAUUUGUAUUUUUAAUAAGAAUCUAAGAGUUACUUUUACAUAUAGAUAAAUAAACAAAAUACAUUCAACAGAUGUACUAAGAGACGAUUAAAGGAAAAAACCUAAACAUAAUAAGCAAGAGAGACAUUACGCCCAGUCUUUUGAGAAGCAUGAUAAUAAUAGUGAUGGGAUAUGUUAUGAUGAUGAUGAGCUUCUAUUGCAGAUACUAUUAUACCAUACUUUAGAUUUAAGUUUUGACAUUAUGUGGCAAUGAAACAAGUCAUGAAGUUGUAAAAAACUCUGGAAUUAAAAAUACAGGAACCACUAGUGAAUAAUGGAUUGGCCAGUUAUAGACAAUAAUAAAUAGCUGUGGAUAUAUCACAUAGAUAAGUGAUACACAUACCUACAUAUGAAUACAAAAUGUUUGUUAAUAUUGUGCGGGAAUUGAACCCACU